This 199-nucleotide long non-coding RNA is filed under the name Elaeis guineensis (African oil palm). Its description in RNAcentral is "long non-coding RNA (EGUI_LNC023214)". The record is from RNAcentral. Lineage: Eukaryota; Viridiplantae; Streptophyta; Magnoliopsida; Arecales; Arecaceae.
CCCCCCUAUCAUCUCCGAAGCUCAAGAUUACAUUGAUAACACUGGCCAACAUCCACAGUCUACUAUAGAUGAUUAUGGUGUUAGUCAGUGCCCGGGCUUGGUGGAUUAGGUUGUUGAACAGCUAUGGGUUAGUCAUCAUGGGCACUGGUGUCGACCAUGUAGACUUGCUCGAAGUGGGUGGCUAGGUGACUCCACCUAG